CCUGAUAAUGCAGAUGGAAUUUGCUCCAAAGAACCAUUUCUAAACAAGUUCACUUUCCUGUAUCCUUUCUUUGCCAUUACCUCUGAUAAGUGGGGAGCUAGAAGAGAGGUUAAAACAUUUAAGAACCAUCAUUAAAAGUAGGGUUUGAAAAAAAAUUAAACUACAUGCUUGAGUAAUGAUUGAUGUGAGAAAGGCCCAUCCCACUAUGGGGAGCACCCUUCUCCACCCCCAGGCAGAUAGACUAGGGUUACAUAAAAAGCAAGCCCAGCUCAAUGACUUCUGCUUUUAGGUUCCUACCAUGGCUUCCCAAAUGAUAGACACUAAUUUUUAAGCCAAAUAAUCCCUUCCCUCCCCAGGUUGCUUUUGAUCGCUGUGUCAUCACAGCAGUGAAGAAACUAGGACCAUAAAGAUUAAAAGAAAUGUGUAUGAGAUGGACAAGACCAUGAGGCCAGAAGAGGAUGUUAGACCGUGUGGACUUUCAUAUAGUUGUGAGCAACUAUGAUGGGUACUGGUGAUGGAAGCCUGGUUCUCUGAAUGACUAGGCACUACUCUUAACCACUGUACAAACUGUCCAGUCUCCAAAAUGAAUAUUUUCAUCAAAUGCUAGAAUUAUGAAACUGAGGCAAAUCACUCCAAGAAAAUACUGUAAGUUUUGAUUUUGCCCAUGCAUGCAUUAUAUAUUCAAAGACUAGCGACAUAUGGACCUUAUUCUAGUGUUAUAAAUAAAGAAACAGACAAGUGGAUGGAGGCUGUGCCCUGGGGUAAGUACAUUUCUUAAUGGGGGAGCUUGGUCUGUGACAGGUACUGAUAAGUACUCUGAAGAAAAGCAAGUACAAUUCAAGGAAAUGUGAAAGAAGAAAGAGGCAGGAUUAGAUACUGUCAAGGGCUAUCCCUGUCAACACACAUAUAUCAUGUUGUGGCUCAGAUCUCUAAUGUUUCCUAAAAUCCAGCCCCACCUCCCCAUCCCAGUGGACAUUACUAUUUGGAAGUGGUAGAAGCUUUAGACUGUGGGGCCUAGUUAGAGGAGGUAGGCCAAUGGAGGUGUGCCUUGAAGAAUAUACUGAGACCUCUGAUCUUUGUUCUGUCUCUUUGCUUGCAGGCUGUGAUGAAGUAAACAGGUUUUUCUCUACCACACUCCCUGCCAUGAUGUUCUGCAGGCCACAGACCCAAAGCAAUGGAGCCAAAUAGCCAGAAGUUGAAACAUUUAAGACUGAACCAACUAAACUUUAACUUUUUUAUAGAUAAAGCAAACUGUGCUGAGGCUGUGAAGACUCACUGAUUUUCACCAAGGAAUUGAGUUAUUUGCGUCCAUCUUAUGAGUUCCGUAGUAUUUGGAAGAGGGAGUUUGUUUGUUCCAUGCCUCAGUGCUCUUGAAUUCAAAAGUUCUCCAUGUUUCCUAGACCACUGCAACGGUGGGAGGUUCUGACCCUGGCUCACAGGAGGACCAAGAUUUCAAUUCCACUGGGGCCCUGAUUAUCCAGACCCAGGUCAAAGGUGUCUGCUGCUUUAGAGUCUCCCUUGAGCACACUUUGAACUGAGCCACUCUUGACCUCUUCCAAAUUUCCAAUCCCUUUCCCAGCCUUCCCUCAAGGCUCGUGCUGGUAUCUUCACCUGGAAGAAGAGGUUACAGUGCCUCUUUUUCCUGUCUCCCACCUUCAUGGGCAGCCAUGGCUCGGCUAGUUGUCUAGGUCACCUUUCUGCUUUCCUGAGACCCUCCUAAGGAGUAUGCACUUGGUAAGCCCUUUCAUAAACACAGUAAUAAAUACUGGUAGAGAACCGUAGAUUUAUAGAGUGGGUCUAUGGUCAUUACUUAAUUCCCAUAAAAGGUAUUCUUUUUACAACAAAUAAGAAGAAAAGGAAAAAUAGUUUCUCUUUAAACAAUCAUUUGCCUCGUUGUUACUGCAUACCUUGUCUGUUGUCCUGAUAAAGUCUAUGGGAGAAGGAGCAAUGUUCAUUACUUACUGUUAUAUUUCUGGUAAAUAACUUCCAUAUAUUUCCAGUAAUAUAUAUGCACAUACACACAUAUACAGAUACACACACACAUACAUAGGUAUACACACACACACACACACACACACAUACAUGAGUGAGUGCUAUGAAGCAUACGGUGGCUCAGUGAACUAGUUUAAUUUUACUACAGGCAUUUUUACUUCACACCUAAAAAAGAUGUUCCCAUGACACGUAGGUCUGUGUUUUGGGAUGGAAUGGAAACCCAUUCUCAUAUAAGCCCAGAAAUCUAAAUGUUUGGAGCUAAGCUCUACACAUAAGAGAGAAAAGACAGUGUUUGUCUUCUGGGCCUGGGUUACCUCACUCAUAUAUUAUUUAUCAGCCCCACCCAUUUUCCCACUAAUUUCAUAACUACAUUUUUAUUGAUGAAUAAAAUCUCAUUCUAUAUGGUGCAUUUCAAUUGCCCAUUUAUCAGUUGAUGGCUAUCUACGCCAUGUCCUAGCUAUUGGACUAGAGCGACAAUAAGCAUGGUUGUACAAGUGUCUCUGUUGUAGGGUAUGGAGUCCUGUGGGUGUACAUCCAGGAGUCAGAGUAUGGUUCUAUUUGCAGCUUUUUCAGAAACUUUCACAAUGAGUUCCACAAUGCAGCACCAGGUUAUGGUCCUAAGGACAGGAAAUCGGAGUUCUUUGUGCCUUAUGUCUGGCCAACAUUUGGUGCCAUCUGUUUCCUUGAUGGUUACCAUUCAGAUCAAGGUGAGAUGGAAUCUCAAAGUUGUUUUAAUUUACAGCUAGAGUUUAAAAUGUUUAUUAGCCAUUUGUAUUUCUUCUUUUGAGGGCUCUGCUCAGAUCCAUUGGCCAUUUUUAUUUGGCUUCUUUGUUUUCUUGAUGUUUGGGUUUUAGGGUGUUUUGUUUUGUUUUAUUUUGUUUUGUUUUGUUUUUGGAUAUUCCAGAUAUAAAUCUUCCAUCAGUUUUUUAGCUGGCAAAGACUUUCCCUUCAUUUUGUAGGCUGCCAAUUUACCCAAUGGAGAAUUGUCUUUGCUGUAGAAUAGCUUUUUGAUAUUUCAUGAGGUUCCAUUUGCUAGCUACUGACAUUAUUUACCAGGUGACCUAUAGUCCUUACCUACUCUGUCUGGGUGUUGUGGUACCUAUCACCCUUCUCAUCCAGCAAUCUCAGGCUUAGCUUUUAUGCUAAAGGAUUCUUUGAUCCAUUUGGAGUUGAUUGUAUAUAGAGAGGUAACAAUCUAGUUUCUUUCUUUUUCUCCCCCCCCCUUUUUAAAAUGUAAUAUACAGUUUUCCCAGUACCAUUUUUGGAAGACAUUGGGGUGUUUGCUUGUUUACUUCUUUGGCAUGUUUUUUCGGCACCUUAGUAAAAACAACAACAAGAAAACAAAACAAACAAACAAAAAACAACCUAGGUGGCUGUGGUUUUGUGGACUUCUCCCUGAUGCAUCUCCUUGGGCACUUCAUUUCUACACUCAGCUUUGUGCAUCCAUUAUGGUCACAGAAUCCCAUCAGAAACACCAUACAGUCUGUUCUGUGAAGAUUCUUUGCCUUAAAUGACUGUGUGUUUUGAUAGCAUUUAGAAAUCCGUGUACCAAAGCCCCACAGAAAUCUCUGCGGAAAGAUGAUACACUGACUUAGCUCUUCUUCUAUUGCUCUGAAGAAACACCAUGACCAAGGCAACCUAUAAAAGAAAGCAUUUAUGUGGGGGCUUGAUUUCCAUUUCAGAGGGUUACUCCUUGGUCAUCAUGUCUGCAAGCACAGUAACAGGUAGGCUGGCAUGUUUAUGGUAUCUGAUCUGCAUGGAGAG
Molecule: long non-coding RNA, 3756 nt
Organism: Mus musculus (house mouse)
Lineage: Eukaryota; Metazoa; Chordata; Mammalia; Rodentia; Muridae
Product: predicted gene, 53958
Exons: 4
Source: RefSeq, a predicted model, not a curated record